UGCGCCCAGUGGACAAACACACACCUUGUUGGUGGUGGUGUUACAUCAGUCAGGAGCAAAGAAGAUGGCAGCCCUUUGUUCAUCCUAGCUUGAUGCCUGGCUUGGUGGGCAAAGCUGUUUUAUACCCAGGACUCAAAA
Small nucleolar RNA from Acomys russatus (golden spiny mouse), 138 nucleotides. RefSeq annotates it as small nucleolar RNA SNORA48. NCBI's taxonomy places the organism in Eukaryota, Metazoa, Chordata, Mammalia, Rodentia, Muridae. The record is from RefSeq and is a predicted model, not a curated record. The transcript has a single exon.